Molecule: non-coding RNA, 32 nt
Filed under: Mus musculus (house mouse)
Lineage: Eukaryota; Metazoa; Chordata; Mammalia; Rodentia; Muridae
Source: RNAcentral
UGGAACUCUAGUGCCCCAACCCGCUGCACAUC